Molecule: ribosomal RNA, 497 nt
Filed under: uncultured bacterium
Lineage: Bacteria
Description: partial 16S ribosomal RNA
Rfam family: Bacterial small subunit ribosomal RNA
Source: RNAcentral
GACGAACGCUGGCGGCGUGCUUAACACAUGCAAGUCGAACGAACAGGCGAGGAUUUUGUUGCGCAGACGUUAGCGGCGGGCGGGUGAGUAACACGUGGAAAAUCUAUCUAUAAGACCGGAAUAGCUUCGAGAAACCGGAGCUAAUACCGGAUUAUAUAUUGAACCGCAUGGUGCAAUAGUGAAAGGAGGUUUUGGUGGCAGUUGUAGAUGGAGCCGAGCCGCAGUAGCUUGGUGGUAUGGUAACGGCUUACUAAGGCAACGAUGAGUAGUCGACCUGAGAGGGUGAUCGGCCACACUGGCACUGAGACACGGUCCAGACUCCUACGGGAGGCAGCGGUAGGGAAGCUUCCGAAAUGGGCGAAUGCGUGACGGAGCAACGCCGCGGGAGUGCUGAAGGUCUUGGGAUCGUAAAACUCUGUUACUCGGGAAGACCAAAUGUGUACGUAACUAUGCACGUCUUGACGGUACCUGAUCAGAAAGCCCCGGCUAACUACGUG